This 68-nucleotide transfer RNA is filed under the name Marmota monax (woodchuck). RNAcentral's name for it is "tRNA.Undet". The record is from RNAcentral. Lineage: Eukaryota; Metazoa; Chordata; Mammalia; Rodentia; Sciuridae.
GGAUUGUGGCUCAGUGGUAGAGUGCUCACCUAGUGCAUUCAAGGCCCUGGGUUCGAUCCUCAGCACCA